GUGACUGCCGGUGACAAACCGGAGGAAGGUGGGGAUGACGUCAAAUCAUCAUGCCCCUUAUGACCUGGGCUACACACGUGCUACAAUGGACAGAACAAAGGGCUGCGAGACCGCAAGGUUUAGCCAAUCCCACAAAUCUGUUCUCAGUUCGGAUCGCAGUCUGCAACUCGACUGCGUGAAGCUGGAAUCGCUAGUAAUCGCGGAUCAGCAUGCCGCGGUGAAUACGUUCCCGGGCCUUGUACACACCGCCCGUCACACCACGAGAGUUUGCAACACCCGAAGUCGGUGAGGUAACCUUUAUGGAGCCAGCCGCCGAAGGUGGGGCAGAUGAUUGGGGGUGAAGUCGUAAC
RNAcentral lists this ribosomal RNA (350 nucleotides) under Bacillus sp. BAB-5644. RNAcentral describes it as "bacterial SSU rRNA". It matches the Rfam family "Bacterial small subunit ribosomal RNA", at positions 1145 to 1492 of the family's 1533-position model. Lineage: Bacteria; Bacillati; Bacillota; Bacilli; Caryophanales; Bacillaceae. The record is from RNAcentral.